UGGGAUGACUGCGACGGAGAGCGUGGAUCCCUGGGAAGAAGACGUCCGGAGCGUCGGGGACACCCCGGGGAUAUGGCGACAGCGAUGGAGCGACAUCCAGGGCAGCAGUGACGGGUCCGGAGCGGUGGGGACACUUGGCGGGAAGCAAAUAAGACCCAUUUGUCUUGUGCUGCCUUCAUAUUUAGGAAAAGGAAAAUCCCAGGAUCUGAAAAAAAGAAUUGUGGCAAGCAAACAAAAAUAGAAGAAAAAAAAGCA
This is a long non-coding RNA of Hyla sarda, 255 nucleotides long. RefSeq lists it as uncharacterized. Lineage: Eukaryota; Metazoa; Chordata; Amphibia; Anura; Hylidae. The record is from RefSeq and is a predicted model, not a curated record. The transcript has 3 exons.